CCUUCCCCAACCCUACCCCACACCCUACAACUAACACCUCCUCCAACCCUGACCCACACCCUACAACCAACACCCGCCUUCCCCCAACCCUGUCCCACACCCUAAAACUAACACUCCCACAACCCUACCCCACACCGUAUAGCUAACAUGCCCCCAACCCUGUCCCACACCCUACAACUAACACCCCCCUCCCCUGCCCCACACCCUACAACCAACAACCCUUCCCCCAACCCUGUCCCACACCCUACAACUAACUCCCCCCCAACCCUGCCCCACACUCUACUACUAACAUCCCCCCAACCCUACCCCACAGCCUACAACUAACACCCCCGCCCCCCAACACAGUGAUGGUAAAUUCACAAUGGGCUUUUUACCCGACUCAUUGCACAACUCACUGAUAAUAGUGAUGCAGUUUGUAAAUACUCUGUGUAUGUGUUUAUAUACUAAAAGUACAGAGCACGGGGCAGUUUCAGAAAGACUGGCCGAACAGACAGGAUGUCCUGUCCAAGGCUGGCUCACCGCUCUAAAAGUGCUUUCAUCAGAAUUUACCCAAGGUGCAGAUUACAGCUGUCUGUCUUUUAAAGGUCAAAACGUGCCAAUUAUUCACAGUAAUGUGCAAAACACCAUGCAUAUAGCAGUUAGUAUAACAGCAAGAAUUAUGAUUAUCAUAAAUGUGUAUAUCAUGAAUAUAGCAGUUAGUAUGAAAAUUACAGUAACAAUAUCUUGUAGUCAUAGUCACAUAGUCAACUACAAAGGUCAGGGAUCAGAAGUGGUACUGUGCAGGGGUGUUUCUGGGCUGACUGUGCUGUGUUCUCAUUGGAUGCUCUCAGGUGUAACUUGCCAUGUACCCUGUCCCAUACCAGCACAGUACAAAGCUAACGCCGCCUCUCUCCAGCUCUUCAGUAAUGACAUGUGCCAGCAUGGAAAAUGUUCUCAUUCUUUUUGUUCAACAAAGUAAAAAUAAAAAAUGAAAAGGAGCAUUGGGCUCUAAUGCAACCGCUACACAAUGCGCAGCCAUGCUAAUGUGACCACUAUACAAAGCACAGGCAUGCUAAUACAUCCACUACACAAAACUCAGCCAUGCUAAUGCAACCGCUACACAAAGCACAGCCAUGCUAAUGCAACUGCUAUACAAAGUGCAGCCAUGCUAAUGCAUCCAGUACACAAAGCGCACCCAUGCUAAUGCAACUGCUAUACAAAGUGCAGCCAUGCUAAUGCAUCCAGUACACAAAGCGCACCCAUGCUAAUGUAACUGCUAUACAAAGCGCACCCAUGCUAAUGCAUCCACUACACAAAGCACAGCCAUGCUAAUACAUCCACUACACAAAACUCAGCCAUGCUAAUGCAACCGCUACACAAACGCAAAGCUCAGCCAUGCUAAUGUGACCGCUACACAAAGCACAGUCAUGCCAAUGCAACCGCUACACAAAGUGCAGCCAUGCUAAUGCAUCCACUACACAAAGCGCAGCCAUGCUAAUGUGACCACUAUACCAAGUGCAGCCAUGCUAAUGUGACCACUAUACCAAGUGCAGCCAUGCUAAUGCAUCCAGUACACAAAGCGCACCCAUGCUAAUGUGACCACUAUACCAAGUGCAGCCAUGCUAAUGUGACCACUAUACCAAGUGCAGCCAUGCUAAUGCAUCCAGUACACAAAGCGCAGCCAUGCUAAUGUGACCACUACACAAAGCACAGCCAUGCUAAUGUGACCACUAUACCACGUGCAGCCAUGCUAAUGUGACCACUAUACCACGUGCAGCCAUGCUAAUGCAUCCAGUACACAAAGCGCAGCCAUGCUAAUGUGACCACUACACAAAGCACAGCCAUGCUAAUGUGACCACUAUACCAAGUGCAGCCAUGCUAAUACAUCCACAAAAUGCAGCCAUGCUAAUGCAACCGCUACACAAAACACAGCCAUGCUAAUGCAACCGCUACACAAAGCACAGCCAUGCUAAUGCAACCGCUACACAAAACACAGCCAUGCUAAUGCAUCCACUACACAAAGCGCAGCCAUGCUAAUGUGACCACUAUACCAAGUGCAGCCAUGCUAAUGCAUCCAGUACACAAAGCGCAGCCAUGCUAAUGUGACCAUUAUACCAAGUGCAGCCAUGCUAAUGCAUCCAGUACACAAAGCGCAGCCAUGCUAAUGUGACCACUAUACCACGUGCAGCCAUGCUAAUGUGACCACUAUACCAAGUGCAGCCAUGCUAAUGCAUCCAGUACACAAAGCGCAGCCAUGCUAAUGUGACCACUACACAAAGCACAGCCAUGCUAAUGUGACCACUAUACCAAGUGCAGCCAUGCUAAUACAUCCACAAAAUGCAGCCAUGCUAAUGCAACCCGUACACAAAACACAGCCAUGCUAAUGCAACCGCUACACAAAGCACAGCCAUGCUAAUGCAACCGCUACACAAAACACAGCCAUGCUAAUGCAUCCACUACACAAAGCGCAGCCAUGCUAAUGUGACCACUAUACCAAGUGCAGCCAUGCUAAUGCAUCCAUACACAAAGCGCAGCCAUGCUAAUGUGACCACUACACAAAGCACAGCCAUGCUAAUACAUCCACUACACAAAACUCAGCCAUGCCAAUGCAUCCACAAAAUGCAGCCAUGCUAAUGCAACCGCUACACAAAACUCAGCCAUGCUAAUGCAUCCAAAAAGCGCAGCCAUGCUAAUAUGUAGCUGCACGCAGUCCAGAUCAUAGCCAUAAAUCAGUAUGAACUGCUGAGAGUGUAGCACCCUUCAGAGUUGAACCCAUGGACAUUGCAUCUAUGACCUGCUACAGGGCCUCACUCAGUAAUAGCUGAGCACAUGGCCGUGUGUAGCUCAUAUCCAAGGGCCAGAGAGCCACAGCCUGGCUCCUGUGCCAGUGCCAUUUCUCCAAAGUGUUCUUAGAGACAAUAGCACAGACACAAAAUGCCAAACAUGAUUUUAGCUGCAGUUACUGGCUCACUGGUUUGUCCAUUAGAUGUUCAUUGUUGUUUUUAGUGGUACGUGUUCACUGUAAGUUUGACUGUUUUAAAUGGGAAAGUAUGUCAUAGUCAUACAACAAUCAGCAACAAUUCCAUCUUCCACUCUACAGCUUGUUAAAGGGGUCAGCUGUCAUUAAAGCUGGCAGCUGGCAGGAAUGUCACUCUGGCUCCUCCUACAGGCCGCAAGACUUACUGCAGGGACAGGAAACGCUCUGACUGAUGGGUAUACAGCCCCAGCACAAAGCUGCAUGUUUAUGCUCUUUUAUAAACUCAACAGGCCAAGCUUCAGUGGCCUCAAGUGUAAUUCUGCACUGGCUCCUUUUCUAGAUCUAUAGAAUAGUCUGAGUCCAGGGUGAGGCCGCAGAUCAGAUCCCUUAAAUCUCACUUCAAUACAUUGAGAGCAAUAGCAGUAUUAUUUUUCAAAUAAUUUUUGAAACAUUUGUGCCGUGUAUGUUCACACACACACACACAUACACACGUGUAUAUAGUGAUGUUGUGAGGCGGUGUUCUGCUGUUUUGUGGUGCCUGUCCUGUGUUCAGUGUGUGGUCUCUGAAACACUUCAGCAGUUUUCCCAUUACCAUGAGGAAUGUUACAGUCUUGCAUGAUGUGUUAAUAUUGUGACAAUAUGGUCUUCAAAUUGUACAUUUGUAUAUUAAAUAAACAAUAAAAUAUGUCUGAACAA
Long non-coding RNA from Anguilla rostrata (American eel), 3652 nucleotides. RefSeq lists it as uncharacterized. Lineage: Eukaryota; Metazoa; Chordata; Actinopteri; Anguilliformes; Anguillidae. The transcript is spliced from 2 exons. The record is from RefSeq and is a predicted model, not a curated record.